AACUUUUGCCGUCCCUAGUCGAAACUGUUUUUUAAUGUUUAGGGACAAAAUAGGUAUUCUGAAAUUUAACGGAAUACUCGCUCGGCAGUCGGCACUAGCGCCUUGGUCUCUUUUGCUUCGAAAAUUUUUAAUUUUCGCGGAAAAUCUCCAGAGAUAAUGGAUGGCAAGGUAGAAAUCUCCCUGACAAGCUCCCCAUCAAGUGUAUGCAAGCCAUAGAAGAAAACGGCUACGAACGCUUCCCUACAUACGCUUCUUUCUUCCCUUUAUUCUCACUCCUUUGGCUUCUCAUAAAUACAUUAUACAGAUUUUAAGCUAUUAACAUUUGCAAAUAUCAUUUUCCUUUCUUUUUUUCCACUCCUUUCUCAGUUUCCAAAUGGAUAAUUGAGGGCAAUUUCGUUUUCCUGCUUAAAUCCGUUGUGAUUAUGUGUAAAUAAAAGCAAAGUUGGGUCAGAAUUUAAGCCCUAAUGAACAUAGUUUAAAUGGAGAUAAAUAUACAUAUUUCCCCAUUUAUUACAGCUUGCUAAACGGAACUCUCUAUUCAUAUAUUACUUUAUGGAGAAGUAGAUUCAAACUAGUGUUUAUUCGUUGUUUUGGGCUACAGUGAUAUUGGAUAUGAUGAGAAGAAAGUAUCAGUGAUUCGCUGAAUGCUUUUGCGUGGGCAGUUGAGAAAGAAGACGAGGAAAAGAAGAAGCAGAAGAAGAGCUGAAAGGAGAGCUCCUCUACAUCAUGGCCAUGGCAGAGCAUGGUGGAGAACUUUCAGUUAGCUCAUCAGGAGCUCUCUGUCAUUAUAGAUCUCAUCAAUACUGUGAGAGUUACUCACUUCACAUGUGGAAGCUAAUGAUGCUCUAACAGUCAUGACCGGGCCAAAGCUUGCUCAGUGAGCAUCUAGCUGACCUUGCUGUGUCUACAGCAACAAAGCUACAAUGCUAUUGGGUACAUUACUCUGUCUCUUGCUCUUUUCCUUUUCUGGUUGGGGACGGAGGUGUGCAGUAUCUUGGUAUAUAUUUUAAGCAGUCUGCCAAAGCCUUGGAACAGCAAGUUGCAAGGGAAGCAAGAUUUUAUGGUGCUUUAAUCAGGUUGCCAGCCAGUUUAUUCACUGGCUUCAUGAGGAAGCUCUUAAGGUGCAAAUAAAAGCAAGCUGUGACUUUCUAUGCUUGUCAUUUGAGUUAGGGCAGGGUGAAGUACUGAGCCUGGUGGCACGUGUGGUCCCCGAAGAUGCUGAAGGGUGCGUGCCGUGGUGGUUAGCAACGGAAGAUGGUUUUGCGAGAGGAGAAGAAACUUCAUAUGAACAUUACAGAUGGAGCAUCUGAAUAUAGGAAGUUCUUGGGGUAUUUACCUCUUGAUGUCAUGUACUCAACUCUUGUGAAUCUAGUUUGUUUGUGCAGUGGUGGGAGCCAUUGACAACAUUAUUUCUUGCACUAGUUUGAUUGGAGAUGAUCCAGGGACCACCCUACAUGUAAUAUUUUCCUUUUUUUUUUUUUUUUUUGUGAAAUGUGAUUGUUUUGUUAGUGUAGUACAGAUUGCAGUCGCAUAGAUUAGCAAAUGGUGCCUUUUUGUUGUCAUUUUCAUUGCUGUUGGCGAUGAUAAUGAUAAAUACAAUCAGAAUUCUCAAGGAUAUAACUAAUCAAAUUGUAAAAUUUUAAUUUUUCCCUAAA
RNA transcript from Hevea brasiliensis (rubber tree), 1655 nucleotides. It is a transcript of the gene named mediator of RNA polymerase II transcription subunit 17-like, with no coding region annotated. The transcript is spliced from 4 exons. The record is from RefSeq and is a predicted model, not a curated record. NCBI's taxonomy places the organism in Eukaryota, Viridiplantae, Streptophyta, Magnoliopsida, Malpighiales, Euphorbiaceae.